This 2874-nucleotide ribosomal RNA is filed under the name Salmonella enterica. Its description in RNAcentral is "partial 23S ribosomal RNA". It matches the Rfam family "Bacterial large subunit ribosomal RNA". Lineage: Bacteria; Pseudomonadati; Pseudomonadota; Gammaproteobacteria; Enterobacterales; Enterobacteriaceae. The record is from RNAcentral.
UGGCAGUCAGAGGCGAUGAAGGGCGUGCUAAUCUGCGAUAAGCGCCGGUAAGGUGAUAUGAACCGUUAUAACCGGCGAUACCCGAAUGGGGAAACCCAGUGUGAUUCGUCACACUAUCAUUAACUGAAUCCAUAGGUUAAUGAGGCGAACCGGGGGAACUGAAACAUCUAAGUACCCCGAGGAAAAGAAAUCAACCGAGAUUCCCCCAGUAGCGGCGAGCGAACGGGGAGGAGCCCAGAGCCUGAAUCAGCAUGUGUGUUAGUGGAAGCGUCUGGAAAGUCGCGCGAUACAGGGUGACAGCCCCGUACACAAAAGCGCAUGUGUUGUGAGCUCGAUGAGUAGGGCGGGACACGUGGUAUCCUGUCUGAAUAUGGGGGGACCAUCCUCCAAGGCUAAAUACUCCUGACUGACCGAUAGUGAACCAGUACCGUGAGGGAAAGGCGAAAAGAACCCCGGCGAGGGGAGUGAAAAAGAACCUGAAACCGUGUACGUACAAGCAGUGGGAGCACAGGUUUACCUGUGUGACUGCGUACCUUUUGUAUAAUGGGUCAGCGACUUAUAUUCUGUAGCAAGGUUAACCGUAUAGGGGAGCCGGAGGGAAACCGAGUCUUAAUUGGGCGUUAAGUUGCAGGGUAUAGACCCGAAACCCGGUGAUCUAGCCAUGGGCAGGUUGAAGGUUGGGUAACACUAACUGGAGGACCGAACCGACUAAUGUUGAAAAAUUAGCGGAUGACCUGUGGCUGGGGGUGAAAGGCCAAUCAAACCGGGAGAUAGCUGGUUCUCCCCGAAAGCUAUUUAGGUAGCGCCUCGUGAAUUCAUCUCCGGGGGUAGAGCACUGUUUCGGCUAGGGGGCCAUCCCGGCUUACCAACCCGAUGCAAACUGCGAAUACCGGAGAAUGUUAUCACGGGAGACACACGGCGGGUGCUAACGUCCGUCGUGAAGAGGGAAACAACCCAGACCGCCAGCUAAGGUCCCAAAGUCAUGGUUAAGUGGGAAACGAUGUGGGAAGGCCCAGACAGCCAGGAUGUUGGCUUAGAAGCAGCCAUCAUUUAAAGAAAGCGUAAUAGCUCACUGGUCGAGUCGGCCUGCGCGGAAGAUGUAACGGGGCUAAACCAUGCACCGAAGCUGCGGCAGCGACACUGUGUGUUGUUGGGUAGGGGAGCGUUCUGUAAGCCUGUGAAGGUGUGUCGUGAGGCAUGCUGGAGGUAUCAGAAGUGCGAAUGCUGACAUAAGUAACGAUAAAGCGGGUGAAAAGCCCGCUCGCCGGAAGACCAAGGGUUCCUGUCCAACGUUAAUCGGGGCAGGGUGAGUCGACCCCUAAGGCGAGGCCGAAAGGCGUAGUCGAUGGGAAACGGGUUAAUAUUCCCGUACUUGGUGUUACUGCGAAGGGGGGACGGAGAAGGCUAUGUUGGCCGGGCGACGGUUGUCCCGGUUUAAGCGUGUAGGUGUGUGUUCCAGGUAAAUCCGGUUCACUUUAACACUGAGGCGUGACGACGAGGCACUACGGUGCUGAAGCAACAAAUGCCCUGCUUCCAGGAAAAGCCUCUAAGCAUCAGGUAACAUCAAAUCGUACCCCAAACCGACACAGGUGGUCAGGUAGAGAAUACCAAGGCGCUUGAGAGAACUCGGGUGAAGGAACUAGGCAAAAUGGUGCCGUAACUUCGGGAGAAGGCACGCUGACACGUAGGUGAAGUGAUUUACUCAUGGAGCUGAAGUCAGUCGAAGAUACCAGCUGGCUGCAACUGUUUAUUAAAAACACAGCACUGUGCAAACACGAAAGUGGACGUAUACGGUGUGACGCCUGCCCGGUGCCGGAAGGUUAAUUGAUGGGGUCAGCGCAAGCGAAGCUCCUGAUCGAAGCCCCGGUAAACGGCGGCCGUAACUAUAACGGUCCUAAGGUAGCGAAAUUCCUUGUCGGGUAAGUUCCGACCUGCACGAAUGGCGUAAUGAUGGCCAGGCUGUCUCCACCCGAGACUCAGUGAAAUUGAACUCGCUGUGAAGAUGCAGUGUACCCGCGGCAAGACGGAAAGACCCCGUGAACCUUUACUAUAGCUUGACACUGAACAUUGAGCCUUGAUGUGUAGGAUAGGUGGGAGGCUUUGAAGCGUGGACGCCAGUCUGCGUGGAGCCGACCUUGAAAUACCACCCUUUAAUGUUUGAUGUUCUAACGUGGACCCGUGAUCCGGGUUGCGGACAGUGUCUGGUGGGUAGUUUGACUGGGGCGGUCUCCUCCUAAAGAGUAACGGAGGAGCACGAAGGUUGGCUAAUCCUGGUCGGACAUCAGGAGGUUAGUGCAAUGGCAUAAGCCAGCUUGACUGCGAGCGUGACGGCGCGAGCAGGUGCGAAAGCAGGUCAUAGUGAUCCGGUGGUUCUGAAUGGAAGGGCCAUCGCUCAACGGAUAAAAGGUACUCCGGGGAUAACAGGCUGAUACCGCCCAAGAGUUCAUAUCGACGGCGGUGUUUGGCACCUCGAUGUCGGCUCAUCACAUCCUGGGGCUGAAGUAGGUCCCAAGGGUAUGGCUGUUCGCCAUUUAAAGUGGUACGCGAGCUGGGUUUAGAACGUCGUGAGACAGUUCGGUCCCUAUCUGCCGUGGGCGCUGGAGAACUGAGGGGGGCUGCUCCUAGUACGAGAGGACCGGAGUGGACGCAUCACUGGUGUUCGGGUUGUCAUGCCAAUGGCACUGCCCGGUAGCUAAAUGCGGAAGAGAUAAGUGCUGAAAGCAUCUAAGCACGAAACUUGCCCCGAGAUGAGUUCUCCCUGAGACUUAGAGUCUCCUGAAGGAACGUUGAAGACGACGACGUUGAUAGGCCGGGUGUGUAAGCGCAGCGAUGCGUUGAGCUAACCGGUACUAAUGAACCGUGAGGCUUAACCUU